RNAcentral lists this non-coding RNA (28 nucleotides) under Bombyx mori (domestic silkworm). The record is from RNAcentral. Lineage: Eukaryota; Metazoa; Arthropoda; Insecta; Lepidoptera; Bombycidae.
UCGUCACUGGUGACGUCUUUCCAACGGC